GAUGAACGCUAGCGAUAGGCUUAACACAUGCAAGUCGAGGGGCAGCAUGGUCUUAGCUUGCUAAGGCUGAUGGCGACCGGCGCACGGGUGCGUAACGCGUAUGCAACUUGCCUCUCAGAGGGGGAUAACCCGUCGAAAGACGGACUAAUACCGCGUACACUCUAUGUUGGGCAUCCAAUGUAGAGGAAAUGAAAUUCGCUGUGAGAUAGGCAUGCGUCCCAUUAGCUAGUUGGUGAGGUAACGGCUCACCAAGGCGACGAUGGGUAGGGGAACUGAGAGGUUGAACCCCCACACUGGUACUGAGACACGGACCAGACUCCUACGGAAGGCAGCAGUGAGGAAUAUUGGUCAAUGGGCGAGAGCCUGAACCAGCCAAGUCGCGUGAAGGAUGACUGUCUUAUGGAUUGUAAACUUCUUUUAUACGGGAAUAACAAGAGUCACGUGUGGCUCCCUGCAUGUACCGUAUGAAUAAGCAUCGGCUAACUCCGUG
Molecule: ribosomal RNA, 490 nt
Filed under: uncultured bacterium
Lineage: Bacteria
Description: partial 16S ribosomal RNA
Rfam family: Bacterial small subunit ribosomal RNA
Source: RNAcentral